GACGUAGGGCGCGAGCGUUGUCCGGAUUUAUUGGGCGUAAAGAGCUCGUAGGCGGCUUGUUGCGUCAGCUGUGAAAACCCGCAGCUCAACUGUGGGCUUGCAGCUGAUACGGGCAGGCUUGAGUGCGGUAGGGGAGACUGGAAUUCCUGGUGUAGCGGUGAAAUGCGCAGAUAUCAGGAGGAACACCGGUGGCGAAGGCGGGUCUCUGGGCCGUUACUGACGCUGAGGAGCGAAAGCGUGGGGAGCGAACAGG
RNAcentral lists this ribosomal RNA (253 nucleotides) under uncultured bacterium. Its description in RNAcentral is "partial 16S ribosomal RNA". It matches the Rfam family "Bacterial small subunit ribosomal RNA", at positions 524 to 776 of the family's 1533-position model. The record is from RNAcentral.